CGUCGACAACACGUCGAUAUCCGGUCUUCUGGCCCGUCCCCCGCUGGAUUCCGGAUCGGGCGGCAGCCUCACAUCCCCCCUCUCCGGGCUGCCGCUUCAUUAUAAUGAUCUGGCCGCUGCGGUACCCCCCUCACCGCAGCGGUCAAGUCUU
Molecule: small RNA, 151 nt
Filed under: Paramesorhizobium deserti
Lineage: Bacteria; Pseudomonadati; Pseudomonadota; Alphaproteobacteria; Hyphomicrobiales; Phyllobacteriaceae
Description: Alphaproteobacterial sRNA ar7
Rfam family: Alphaproteobacterial sRNA ar7
Source: Rfam by way of RNAcentral